This 588-nucleotide ribosomal RNA is filed under the name uncultured bacterium. Its description in RNAcentral is "bacterial SSU rRNA". It matches the Rfam family "Bacterial small subunit ribosomal RNA", at positions 338 to 1533 of the family's 1533-position model. The record is from RNAcentral.
CCUACGGGAGGCAGCAGUUUGGAAUUUUGGACAAUGGGCGAAAGCCUGAUCCAGCGACGCCGCGUGGACGAUGAAGGCCUUCGGGUCGUAAAGUCCUUUUGCUCGGGAACAAUAUUUUGAGCGUACCGAGAGAAUAAGAGGUUGCUAACUCUGUGCCAGCAGCAGCGGUAAUACAGAGACCUCAAGCGUUAUCCGGAAUCAUUGGGCGUAAAGCGUACCGAUAGGUGGUUUUACAAGUCAGAAGUGAAAUCUCUCAGCUUAACUGGGAGACUGUCUUUUGAAACUGUAAAACUAGAGGGGCAAAGAGGAAGCUGGAACAAACGGUGUAGUAGUGAAAUGCGUUGAUAUCGUUUGGAACACCAAUAGCGUAGGCAGGCUUCUGGGUGCCACCUGACACUGCUAGGACGAAAGCGUGGGGAGCGAAUGGGAUUAGAUAAAUCCCGUCACCGCCUCUCGAUACAAUCGAGAGAAUAAAUAAUAGUGACGAAGGGUGUCCCUCUCAACAGUAAUGUUGGGAUGCGCNCUGUNUAUAUNUGUGACACUCACUAACAAUACGAGAUACUACUGUCGUCGUUAGUGAGAGUACGA